This 1228-nucleotide long non-coding RNA is filed under the name Gallus gallus (chicken). Its description in RNAcentral is "lncRNA (ENSGALG00000049033.1)". The record is from RNAcentral. Lineage: Eukaryota; Metazoa; Chordata; Aves; Galliformes; Phasianidae.
AACCACUGCCCAGGCCACCGCAGCAGCCCAGGGCCCUUCAGCAAGCCCUGCUGUGCUGCUCGGCUGGUUCUUUGCCUGCAGUGACUGAGUGUGAAUUUUAAUGACUUGCCUGAGAUUGAGGAGGAUUCUCAGCCUUUCUUCCCCAAGUUAAUGACAGCAUGCCUCUUAAUAUGGGAUAAGCUCCAUACAAACCAGCUCUUUUCCUAAGCUAGAACAAACCAAAAGAUUUCAAAAAUAUUUCAUGCAGAUUUUUAGGGGAAAAUCCUACCUGUACUUACCUCUCAACAUUUAAACCUUCAUCCCUUCUCUAAUCCAUCCUCUGCGAUCUGAGGGAAAAAAAAGCACUGGGGAAGCUGUUUCCUUAUCUCUCAAUCUCGCCUGCCUUUACUUCAACCCACGUCAAAACUGCAAGAAACACUGCAUAAAAAUUAUUUUUUGUUUGUUUUGCAAUUUUCCUUCAAACAUAGCAUGGGCUCUGCUGAGAGCAUGACAUCAUCUCCAACAGGAAUGGUUUGAGAUAGAACCAUAAAAUCAGUAAGGUUAGAAAAGACCUCUAAGAUCAUCUAGUCCUGCCAUAAGUCAAUCCUGUGCCAGGAGACAGAGGAACCGUACUUGCCCAUCAACAAGCAGCCACUGCCUAUGCUACCCACCCUCCUCACCGUGUUCUGCUCUUGUAAAGCCUUGCAACUGCAGACAGAAUCAGUGUAGAAAACAUCUUUCAUUGUAAAAGCAGAUACAGAAAAAAAUAAUACUUGGUUUUCACAUCCACUGUUUCUAAGGCUGCAGUAUCCCAACGGCCAGAAACAAUUGGUUCCUCGGAAAUCAAAAACCUCAUUACUUUCUUACUACACCUGAAAACUACUGGUCAGCUAGAACAUUAAUGCAUGUUUCAGGCAGAAGCUCUGCCUCUGAAAAUGGAAGGAAGCUGUCUGCAGGAAGCAAACGGAGAUUUAAGUAUUUAAGCUUAAAGCGAUGUUGCAAAAAUCACAUGAAUAUUUUCUUUCCAAUUUCAGGGUAACACUCUUCUGCAUGAAAUAAGUGCUAAUCUGAAAAUCUACUAAGCAUUGCUAUUUACCUUACUGGUUUUGAGGGAGGCGUUUUGUUUUUUGAUGGUUACUAUAAUUAUUGUUGUUGUUGUUGUUGUUAUUAUUAUUGAAAUAUUUGGAAUUUUAAACCAAGACAUGGGACAUAUGAAUCUAAACAUGAAAUAAAAAUGACAAAAUUUAGC